CCUACGGGAGGCAGCAGUGAGGAAUAUUGGUCAAUGGUCGGGAGACUGAACCAGCCAAGCCGCGUGAGGGAUGAAGGUACAGAGUAUCGUCAACCUCUUUUGUCAGGGAACAAAGGCGGGGACGUGUCCCCGGAGGAGUGUACCUGAAGAAAAAGCAUAGGCUAACUCCGUGCCAGCAGCCGCGGUAAUACGGAGGAGUCGAGCGUUAUCCGGAUUUAUUGGGUUAAAAGGGUGCGCAGGUGGUCUGUUAAGUCAGCGGUCAAAGCCCGGGGCUCAACCCCGGCCCGCCGUUGAAACUGGCAGUCUCGAGUUGGAGAGAAGUAUGCGGAAUGCGCGGGGUAGCGGUGAAAUGCAUAGAUAUCGCGCAGAACUCCGAUUGCGAAGGCAGCAUGCCGGCUCCACACUGACGCUGAGGCACGAAAGCGUGGGUAUCGAACAGGAUUAGAUACCCUGGUAGUC
This 459-nucleotide ribosomal RNA is filed under the name uncultured bacterium. Its description in RNAcentral is "partial 16S ribosomal RNA". It matches the Rfam family "Bacterial small subunit ribosomal RNA", at positions 338 to 795 of the family's 1533-position model. The record is from RNAcentral.